Molecule: ribosomal RNA, 497 nt
Filed under: uncultured bacterium
Lineage: Bacteria
Description: partial 16S ribosomal RNA
Rfam family: Bacterial small subunit ribosomal RNA
Source: RNAcentral
GAUGAACGCUGGCGGCGUGCCUAAUACAUGCAAGUCGAGCGAACGGACGAGAAGCUUUCUUCUCUGAUGUUAGCGGCGGACGGGUGAGUAACACGUGGAUAACCUACCUAUAAUACUUGGAUAACUUCGGGAAACCGUAGCUAAUACUGGAUAAUAUUUUGAACGGCAGGGUUCAAAAGUGAAAGAGGGUUUUGCUGUCACUUAUAGAUGGAUUCGGGUUGCAUUAGCUAGUUGGUAAGGUAACGGCCUACCAAGGCAACGAUGCGUAGCCGACCUGAGAGGGUGAUCGGCCACACUGGAACUGAGACACGGUCCAGACUCCUACGGGAGGCAGCAGUAGGGAAUCUUCCGCAAUGGGCGAAAGCCUGACGGAGCAACGCCGCGUGAGUGAUGAAGGUCUUCGGAUCGUAAAACUCUGUUAUUAGGGAAGAACAUCUGUGUAAGUAACUGUGCACAUCUUGACGGUACCUAAUCAGAAAGCCACGGCUAACUACGUG